UACGUAGGGGGCAAGCGUUGUCCGGAAUCAUUGGGCGUAAAGCGCGCGUAGGCGGCCCGGUAAGUCCGUUGUGAAAGUCAAAGGCUCAACCUUUGAACGCCGAUGGAUACUGCCGGGCUAGAGUCCGGAAGAGGCGAGUGGAAUUCCUGGUGUAGCGGUGGAAUGCGCAGAUAUCAGGAGGAACACCAGUGGCGAAGGCGAGUCCCUGGACAACACCUGACACUGAGGCACGAAAGCUAGGGGAGCAAACAGG
Molecule: ribosomal RNA, 253 nt
Filed under: uncultured bacterium
Lineage: Bacteria
Description: partial 16S ribosomal RNA
Rfam family: Bacterial small subunit ribosomal RNA
Source: RNAcentral